Molecule: unclassified non-coding RNA, 148 nt
Organism: Macaca fascicularis (crab-eating macaque)
Lineage: Eukaryota; Metazoa; Chordata; Mammalia; Primates; Cercopithecidae
Rfam family: Metazoan signal recognition particle RNA
About the family: The signal recognition particle (SRP) is a universally conserved ribonucleoprotein. It is involved in the co-translational targeting of proteins to membranes.
Source: Ensembl
GCCAGGUGUGGUGGCGUAUGCCUGUAGUCCCAGCUACUUGGGAGGCUCAGACAGGAGAAUCACUUGAGCCCGGGAGGUGGAGACUGCAGUGAGCAGAGAUCGUGCCACUGCAGUCCAGCCUGGGCAACAGAGUGAGACUCUGUCUCAA